Molecule: transfer RNA, 73 nt
Filed under: Dipodomys ordii (Ord's kangaroo rat)
Lineage: Eukaryota; Metazoa; Chordata; Mammalia; Rodentia; Heteromyidae
Rfam family: tRNA
About the family: Transfer RNA (tRNA) molecules are approximately 80 nucleotides in length. Their secondary structure includes four short double-helical elements and three loops (D, anti-codon, and T loops).
Source: Rfam by way of RNAcentral
GGCAGUGUGGCUCAAGUUGUAAGGCACCUGCCUAGCAAGCAUGAGGUCCUGAGUUCAAUCCCCAGUGCUAUCA